Molecule: ribosomal RNA, 253 nt
Filed under: uncultured bacterium
Lineage: Bacteria
Description: partial 16S ribosomal RNA
Rfam family: Bacterial small subunit ribosomal RNA
Source: RNAcentral
UACAGAGGGUGCAAGCGUUAAUCGGAUUUACUGGGCGUAAAGGGCGCGUAGGUGGUUAUGUUAGUAAGAUGUGAAAGCCCCGGGCUUAACCUGGGAACUGCGUCUUAAACUGCAUAGCUGGAGUACAAUAGAGGGUAGUGGAAUUUCCGGUGUAGCGGUGAAAUGCGUAGAUAUCGGAAGGAACACCAGUGGCGAAGGCGGCUACCUGGAUUGAUACUGACACUGAGGCGCGAAAGCGUGGGGAGCAAACAGG